RNAcentral lists this long non-coding RNA (285 nucleotides) under Lathyrus oleraceus (garden pea). RNAcentral's name for it is "Pisum sativum (pea) long non-coding RNA (PSAT_LNC009320)". The record is from RNAcentral. Lineage: Eukaryota; Viridiplantae; Streptophyta; Magnoliopsida; Fabales; Fabaceae.
GAAAUGUUUCAUUGAAUAGCUACACCACUAAUGUUGUCAUUUAUUUUCUUCCAACUUUUUUGAAAGGUUUCAUUGAACCUAAUUCAUCUAUUCUAACUAAAGCAUGUGAAUGCCGGUAGAAAUAACCAUAUUUUUUUCCUUCUAUUUUUAUGGCAUUGUAUGCUUUGUGUAUUGCAUAGACUCUUAAAAUUUUGCACUUAAUUGAAAGACGUCUUAGUCGGUUGAUGAAAGUGAUUGCUUAUAAACUUUUUUUAAGUUUUGAUUUUCAAAUUCAAACAUGAGAUU